Megalobrama amblycephala (Wuchang bream) is the source of this 3494-nucleotide long non-coding RNA. RefSeq lists it as uncharacterized. The transcript has 5 exons. NCBI's taxonomy places the organism in Eukaryota, Metazoa, Chordata, Actinopteri, Cypriniformes, Xenocyprididae. The record is from RefSeq and is a predicted model, not a curated record.
CCCGUUUCACUUCCUCACUUUCCCCCUUUUGCUCUCUGUUCACGUAGGACCACAAACUGGACGCAAACAAGUGCGUCUACAGCUCUGCUGGCACUUCACAUGGCGUAAAGUCCAUCCGUAGUUUGUUAAACAUCACCGACUGGAGCAAAGAGAGCAAAAAAAGCACUUGCUAAAUGGAGGACUACUUUGAGAUGGCUGCUAUUCUCCGGCUUAUUGCCUCCUGUCGACCAUGGUUUCACAUGAGGUCCGGGGUGUCAGGUCUGCUUCCACCAAUAAAGCCUGUGAUUGACACUAGCAGGAGAGACUUGAGCUGGGAAAAGAAACUGAAUCUCAAUGUAUGAGGGAAAAUCUACAACAAAAAAAAAAAAAAAAAAAAAAAAAAAACAUCUCAGGGUUGGAGGACAAAAGCAUGCUCCGGCCAUACAUCUGGAAACACUCUAAACCAACAUCCUGGUAUAAAUUUGCAAAACGCAAUACAGGCCGGAUUGUGCGCGGGACGGACGCGGGGUGCAUACAAAUGGCCCCCCCGUCUAAAGUACCCCCUGUUUCUCUUCUGCCUCAGAAGGAGCGCCAGAGUUUUUUACCGAAGGGAGAAUAAAGUUUCAAGUGCAUGGCAUUUGAAGGUAAGCGAGUGAAAUCGGAGGCUGGUCGUUGGGGAUAAGGCAAGGCUGGGAAAGAGGGAAGUUGGCAGUAGUGCCCAGCCAGACUCGGUGCCUUGAGCUCCCCCCUCCCUGCACCAGGUGUCUGCUACAUUUAAAUGAUACUAUUAUUCAUAGACAAGAGAGCAGGGUAUUAAAAGUCCCCCCAAAAAAUCAUUUGCAAUUGAAUACAGAUAUAAUCCUGGAAAUAUAAGUCUCCAUUUAGGCCUUGCCAUUAAGCUAACAAGGAGCCCUUUGUACAACAUGUGUGUAUUAAUCACGGUCAGGGGAAAGGGGCAGGAAGAGAGAGAGUGGGAGAGAAAAUAGAGAGCGAGUGAGUGAGCGAGGGAGGGAAAAAGAGAGAGAGAACACCAUUCGUGUGUGUUCACAUGCAAAUUGAAAUGUUGCUCAUCAAAAACGAGCUUAUCACUUUCCCUCUUGUUCUCGGCAGACUCGGCGGGCCAGCACGAACCCCAAGUGCUUCAAAUGGGGAUAAACUGAAAAUUUAUUUGCAUUUGUGAAAUUUCAACACACUUGAUUUCUUUCAGCUGCGCAAUCUGAAGUGCGCGAGUCCAUGCGAGACGUAAAGGAAGCACACACUGCGUGCAGAUGUCACAACGACACACAGGAAUUCACUCAAUGAGCCGGGGUUUCUCAAACCUACUGUGUGGGUUUCAUUUUCCUGCAGAUCACUUUGAUUUGUGCACUUUUUCAAUGUGGCAAAUAGAGAUUUUGGAGGGCCCUCAAGGCAGCCCCCAAAUGCCCCUUACAAAACUCCUCUCCAGCAAUCAUUACAUCACCAUUUCUCUAAGCCGAUUUUCAGCAAGUCUGGCUGUGUUAUUAAAAUAGUAAUUAAUUUUUGUCCAAGGGAACAAAAGCAAGUUUUUGUCCCCCACCAAGUGUCUCUGAAGAGGCCAGGGGUGCCGGUGAGGUUCUUUCUAUCUAGUCUAUGGUCUCUAAACGUAAUCCCCAAUAGUCUGGUACAGUAAGAGCGCUUUGAUAAUGGGAUAGAAGCAGACACCCGCACCGGAUCGAUCUGGAUCUCGGGAUGCGUUUGAUAGGCUGGUGUCACAAACAAGUGUGGCUCAACAAUAACGUCUGUAAGUUAGGAUGUUAUUAAAGGGUUAGUUCACCCAAAAAUGAAAAUUCUGUCAUUAAUUACUCACCCUCAUGUCAUUCCACACUCAUAAGACCUUUGAUAAUAAGUUGGCAUUCUGACAUAGAACCGGGAAGCGCUGACGUAAACAACAUAGAAGAAUGAUAUAGAGAAGAUAUUGUUGAAUAAAGUCGUUAUUUUUGUUUUGUUUUUGCGCACAAAAAGUAUUCUCGUCGCUUCAGAAAAUUAAGAUUGAAUCACUGCAGUCACAUUGACUAUUUUAACAAUGUCUUUAGUACCUUUCUGAAUCUUGAAAGUAGUGGUAACAUAUCUGUCUAUGGGGGAUAAAAAAGUAUCUUAAUUUGUGUUCUGAAGAUGAAUAAAGGUCUUACGGGUGUGGAACGACGUGAGGGUGAGUAAUUAAUGACAGAAUUUUCAUUUUUGGGUGAACUAACCCUUAUUUUUCACAAUUGUUACUUCAUAAAACAGAGAUACACACUGCUAUGUACAAAUGCUGAUUUUGCAUUACAGACUUAAUUGUUAACUUUCACCAUAUGGCACAUGGGAGUGUAUUAUGGGAACUUAAAUCGACAAUAUGGAUACGGCUUAGUAUGUUUAAUAUGACUAGAGUCCUGAAACAGCACUACCGGACGUUUCUAUAGCAGAUUAAGUGUUCAUAGUGAGGAGGUCUGGGGGCUUAUGGGUAGAAUCACUAGCAAGUUCGGCUUCGACAUCGAAUUUUCCUUGGAAACACCAAUCAUGUUUAAAAUCCAAGCUGAAGAAGAUUGAGGGAAAAAUCCCAAAGGAAUAAAAGUUGACUUUGAGAGCCUUUGAGUUUCCCGGACAGCCCAUCUGCCAUAAAACACCAUUGUAAAGCUGGACGUGGGUCCCAGAGAUUGAUGACUUGAAGUCUUUCAAAAAGCUGUUUGUAUAAGUGGAGUUAUGCUAAAAAUGCGGCAGUGAUAAUAUCGUCGCCGUUCACCCGAAACAGAGCAUUACUGCAAUGAUAAACGUUGUGUUUGACUUCAUGGAUUUAGUCAGCUGGUGUGCUUGAAAGACGGAGAGAAAAAAGUGGGUGGGAAAACAUUUGCCUUUCUCCAAAAUUAAGUCGUUAUUUCACACAGCCAUAAAUGCAUGUCCUGAGUUACUCUGGCAGUCUCGGCUUCCCAUCAGAUCACAAUGGAGAUGUCAGGAGAUCAUCUCUGAACACAAGCACAUCUGCCCCGAUGAAGAAUUUAUAUCUGUCCAUAUGGACUCUGUUGUGCUGUAGUGAUGUCAUGAGAAUCAAUGUGUUUUUUUGUUUUUUUUUAGAAAACCUCAUAAAUAAUAAUAUUGUUACAUGUGUUGCGUUCUACUGCUUAAUCUUACCUGUAAAGAAGCAACAGGUCAUAAAACACUUUGCUUUUACAGGCUCUCUGCCUUCCCCAUGAAAAUGACUUAGAUUUUUUUUCCCCCCAUGCAUUGUGGACAGGCGGAGCUUUUCAGGAUUUCACCGCAUCUCGGUGUGUCCAAGCAAUAAGUGUGGGGCCAGUGCAGUAGUCACUGCAGGAUUUAAAAAGACUUCCUCAUGCAGAAAUAUUUAAUCUCCUUUCAGAAAAUAAAAGAGGGAGAGGGGAAAGAAAACCCAACAUGAGAUUUUCCGUUCUUUAUUACUUGUGCAGUAUCAAAGAGUACAUCAUAGUUGUUGUUCCCCCUCCAAAAAACUCCAACAAAUAAAAAAGAAAAGGAUCUGUGAUGCAGCACAUGUAGUAGUGCACAUG